AGUCAAGUAUGGUACACUUGUAUCUAUUAAUGGUUAUGCGACGGCUAUGCAAAUAUAUAAUCAACAUAUUAUGAAUAUUACAUGUUAGGCACUGGGUAAUAUGUCCUAUGGCUUCCUCUUGAGCACCACAAUGCUCUUUUUAUUAAGGCUACAAGCAAUUUGGCUCAAUCUCCUUUGCAGGCAGAGCUGCUGGGUCUUCAGUACUACCUUCCUCACGGAUAAUGUGACAAUUGCAGAUACGAACCAGCUGGUCACUGGAGCCUUAGACCGUUAUGGAGUCAACUACAGUCAAGAAUACCUAAUCAUCUCAUGCAACUCAUCUAGCUUACCCUUCAAGGCUUUGUUAUGCUUCCAGUUUGCAAGCUCAUUUAAGUCCGGUGAACUCUUCCUCCUCCAUCUCGUCGCCGAUGAGUACCUCGACACCCAAUGCAGCGAUGGUGACGGCGAGGUUGAGAACGGCCACGACAUCACGUUCUUGCUGCCACCGCCGCCGCUUCCAACGGAGAGGGAGCGGAAGAACGUCUUGGGCCGUGGCGGCGCGUCCGCAUCCGUGGGCAGGCGCGCGGAGCGACUGCAGAUGCCGGCCUUCCCACCUCCGGCGGUGCACAGAUGAGCCGCCAAAC
RNAcentral lists this long non-coding RNA (623 nucleotides) under Oryza sativa Indica Group (long-grained rice). RNAcentral's name for it is "lncRNA OsZS97_03G038910". The record is from RNAcentral. Lineage: Eukaryota; Viridiplantae; Streptophyta; Magnoliopsida; Poales; Poaceae.